AGUGAACGCUGGCGGUAUGCCUAACACAUGCAAGUCGAACGGCAGCACAGUAAGAUUGUUCUCUUACGGUUGGCGACUGGCGGACGGGUGAGGAAUACAUCGGAAUCUACUUUUUCGUGGGGGAUAACGGAGGGAAACUUACGCUAAUACCUCAUACGACCUACGGGUUGAAUUAAGGGAUCUUCGCACCUUUCCUGAUUGUAUUAGCCGAUGUCGGAUUAGCUAGUUGGCUGGGUAAGGGCCCACCAAGGCAACGAUCCGUAGCUGGUCUGAGAGGAUGAUCAGCCACACUGGAACUGAGACACGGUCCAGACUCCUACGGGAGGCAGCAGUGGGGAAUAUUCGACAAUGGGCGAAAGCCUGAUGGAGCAAUACCGCGUGGGUGAAGAAGGUCUUCGGGUUGUAAAGCUCUUUUGUUGGGAAAGAAAAGAAGCAGAUUAAUACCUCGAUGUUCUGACGGUACCCAAAGAAUAAGCAACGGCUAACUUCGUG
Molecule: ribosomal RNA, 492 nt
Filed under: uncultured bacterium
Lineage: Bacteria
Description: partial 16S ribosomal RNA
Rfam family: Bacterial small subunit ribosomal RNA
Source: RNAcentral